GGUGAGAUGGCCGAGCGGUCUAAGGCGCCAGACUAAGGUUCAUUCACAUGUUAUCUGGUCCGAAAGGGCGUGGGUUCAAAUCCCACUCUCAUCA
This 94-nucleotide transfer RNA is filed under the name Laetiporus sulphureus 93-53. It matches the Rfam family "tRNA". From Rfam's summary of the family: Transfer RNA (tRNA) molecules are approximately 80 nucleotides in length. Their secondary structure includes four short double-helical elements and three loops (D, anti-codon, and T loops). Further hydrogen bonds mediate the characteristic L-shaped molecular structure. tRNAs have two regions of fundamental functional importance: the anti-codon, which is responsible for specific mRNA codon recognition, and the 3' end, to which the tRNAs corresponding amino acid is attached (by aminoacyl-tRNA synthetases). tRNAs cope with the degeneracy of the genetic code in two manners: having more than one tRNA (with a specific anti-codon) for a particular amino acid; and 'wobble' base-pairing, i.e. permitting non-standard base-pairing at the 3rd anti-codon position. Lineage: Eukaryota; Fungi; Basidiomycota; Agaricomycetes; Polyporales; Laetiporaceae. The record is from Rfam by way of RNAcentral.